GGGGAUGUGGCUCAGUGGAGGAGUGCUUGCCUAGAAAUCAUGAAGCCUUGGGUUCAAUUCUCAACACCA
Non-coding RNA from Ictidomys tridecemlineatus (thirteen-lined ground squirrel), 69 nucleotides. The record is from Rfam. Lineage: Eukaryota; Metazoa; Chordata; Mammalia; Rodentia; Sciuridae.